AUUGAACGCUGGCGGCAUGCCUAACACGUGCAAGUCGAACGGUAACAGGCAAAGCUUGCUUUGCGCUGACGAGUGGCGGACGGGUGAGUAACGCGUAGGAAUCUGCCUUAAAGUGGGGGACAACCCGGGGGAAACUCGGGCUAAUACCGCAUGUGCCCUUCGGGGUAAAGCUGGGGAUCUUCGGACCUGGCGCUUUAAGAGGAGCCUGCGUUGGAUUAGCUAGUUGGUAGGGUAAAGGCCUACCAAGGCGACGAUCCAUAGCUGGUCUGAGAGGAUGAUCAGCCACACUGGAACUGAGACACGGUCCAGACUCCUACGGGAGGCAGCAGUGGGGAAUAUUGGACAAUGGGGGGC
Molecule: ribosomal RNA, 354 nt
Filed under: uncultured bacterium
Lineage: Bacteria
Description: bacterial SSU rRNA
Rfam family: Bacterial small subunit ribosomal RNA
Source: RNAcentral